Camellia sinensis is the source of this 345-nucleotide non-coding RNA. NCBI's taxonomy places the organism in Eukaryota, Viridiplantae, Streptophyta, Magnoliopsida, Ericales, Theaceae. The record is from RefSeq and is a predicted model, not a curated record.
UAAGUUAGCUGAUUGAACAUGAAUGGGCUCACUCACUCAUGAAAAUUCAAUGCUCACCUGAGAAGGCAAAGGCUUGGGAAAGUCGGCAAUCACACCAAAAGCCACAAUAAUCAGGGGUUAGAUUAGAAGAGGUGACUACCAUAACAUAACGUGUCUUGAUUGAUUUGGUCGAAUUGAAUUCCACACUCCACAACAGAGUUCGAAAUCAAAAAUAAGAAUUGCUCCAUUGUCGAAGCUCCAUUGUUAAAAAGGGGUGUAAUCAGAAAAUUAUUAUACAAGCCAAACGCGAUUAAUAAUGGAUCAGAUUAGCAUUCAGAAAGGAAGAAUUGUGACCCUAGAAGAAGG